Molecule: ribosomal RNA, 498 nt
Filed under: uncultured bacterium
Lineage: Bacteria
Description: partial 16S ribosomal RNA
Rfam family: Bacterial small subunit ribosomal RNA
Source: RNAcentral
AUUGAACGCUGGCGGCAUGCCUUACACAUGCAAGUCGAACGGUAACAGGUCUUCGGAUGCUGACGAGUGGCGAACGGGUGAGUAAUACAUCGGAACGUGUCUAGUAGUGGGGGAUAACUACUCGAAAGAGUGGCUAAUACCGCAUGAGAUCUAAGGAUGAAAGCAGGGGAUCGCAAGACCUUGUGCUACUAGAGCGGCCGAUGGCAGAUUAGGUAGUUGGUGGGAUAAAAGCUUACCAAGCCGACGAUCUGUAGCUGGUCUGAGAGGACGAUCAGCCACACUGGGACUGAGACACGGCCCAGACUCCUACGGGAGGCAGCAGUGGGGAAUUUUGGACAAUGGGCGCAAGCCUGAUCCAGCAAUGCCGCGUGCAGGAUGAAGGCCUUCGGGUUGUAAACUGCUUUUGUACGGAACGAAAAGCCCCGGGUUAAUACCCUGGGGUCAUGACGGUACCGUAAGAAUAAGCACCGGCUAACUACGUGCCAGCCGCCGCGGUAA